Molecule: ribosomal RNA, 497 nt
Filed under: uncultured bacterium
Lineage: Bacteria
Description: partial 16S ribosomal RNA
Rfam family: Bacterial small subunit ribosomal RNA
Source: RNAcentral
GAUGAACGCUGGCGGCGUGCCUAAUACAUGCAAGUCGAGCGAACGGACGAGAAUCUUGCUUCUCUGAUGUUAGCGGCGGACGGGUGAGUAACACGUGUAUAACCUACCUAUAAGACUGGGAUAACUUCGUGAAACCUUAUCUAAUACCGGAUAAUAUUUUGAACCGCAUGGUUCAUAAGUGAAAGCCGUUUUUGCUGUCACUUAUACAUGUAUCCUCGCUGCAUUAGCUAGUUGGUAAGGUAACGGCUUACCAAGGCAACGAUGCAUAGCUGACCUGAGAGGGUGAUCGGCCACACUGGAACUGAGACACGGUCCAGACUCCUACGGGAGGCAGCAGUAGGGAAUCUUCGGCAAAGGGCGAAAGCCUGACGGAGCAACGCCGCGUGAGUGAUGAAGGUCUUCGGAUCGUAAAACUCUGUUAUUAGGGAAGAACAGAUGUGUAAGUAACUGUGCACAUCUUGACGGUACCUAAUCAGAAAGCAACGGCUAACUACGUG